UACGUAUGGAGCAAGCGUUAUCCGGAUUUACUGGGUGUAAAGGGUGCGUAGGUGGCAGUGCAAGUCAGAUGUGAAAGGCCGGGGCUCAACCCUGGAGCUGCAUUUGAAACUGCAUAGCUAGAGUACAGGAGAGGCAGGCGGAAUUCCUAGUGUAGCGGUGAAAUGCGUAGAUAUUAGGAGGAACACCAGUGGCGAAGGCGGCCUGCUGGACUGUUACUGACACUGAGGCACGAAAGCGUGGGGAGCAAACAGG
RNAcentral lists this ribosomal RNA (253 nucleotides) under Anaerobutyricum hallii. Its description in RNAcentral is "partial 16S ribosomal RNA". It matches the Rfam family "Bacterial small subunit ribosomal RNA", at positions 524 to 776 of the family's 1533-position model. The record is from RNAcentral. Lineage: Bacteria; Bacillati; Bacillota; Clostridia; Lachnospirales; Lachnospiraceae.